This 758-nucleotide non-coding RNA is filed under the name Clavisyllis tenjini. The record is from RNAcentral. Lineage: Eukaryota; Metazoa; Annelida; Polychaeta; Phyllodocida; Syllidae.
UUUUAAUUUGAUUCUAGUUAGAAAAAUUUAUUACUUAUUUAAAUCACAUGCAAGACCUCCUAACCCGCAAAAACUAUAGAUUCAAUAUUUUAAAUAAGCGCCCGCAGUGAAUAAUCCUAAGAUAAUAACUUUGUUAGUCUUGGUAAAUUAAGUCAUAAUUGGUAAAAUGUGUGCCAGCCACCGCGGUUAUACCCAAAAUUAAAAUAAAUUUCUAAGGGUAUUUCAGAGAUCUCUAAAUUCCUUCAAGGUCCAAUUUUUUAUAAUUUCUCACCAAACAUCUCUCUCUCUCUCUCUCAAAUCAUAAAUAUAAACAAGGAUUAGAUACCCUUCUAUCUAUGACCUAUUUUUAUAUACCCGGGUAGUACAAUUUUUCAAUCUAAACCCAAAGAUCUUGGCGGUAUUUUAUCUCACCAGGGGAGCCUGUAAUUUCAUAUGAUAACCCACAUUUAUCCCCACUAUUUCUAGAUCUCAGCUUAUGUAUGGUCGUCGUAAGUAUAUUUUGAGAAAAUUAUACCCAAUAUUAAAAAAUAAAAUGUCAGAUCUUCAUAUAGCUUAUGAAUUAGGUAUUAUGGGCUACUAUUAAACUAUGAAUAACUUAUUACCUUAUUAGUUAGAAAUCGGACUUGGAAGUAAAAAGUGAAUAAAAUACACUCUUGAAUAUAGUAAUCUAAAAUGUGCACAAAUCGCCCGUCACUCUCGUCGAAAGAGGAGAUAAGUCGUAACAUAGUAGGUGUAAUGGAAAUUGUACCUCAAAAUAU